Long non-coding RNA from Micropterus salmoides (largemouth bass), 858 nucleotides. RefSeq lists it as uncharacterized. The record is from RefSeq and is a predicted model, not a curated record. The transcript is spliced from 2 exons. Lineage: Eukaryota; Metazoa; Chordata; Actinopteri; Centrarchiformes; Centrarchidae.
AUAUAAGACUCAUUGUUUUAAACAUUAUUAUUAAUAUCGAUGCCAAAUCAUGCCAUCGUUUUCACUUUAGACUGCAUUCAUGCCGUGCGAGAAUUUGUUGUAGCAAUAGCAAUUACUGUGAAUGGUCAAUUCUGCCAAACCCAUAUUCAUUUCAUUCAUUAUACCUUUUAAAUAUAUUAUAUCAUAAAUCAGUUCAGGAAACUUAUUUUAAUCUCUAAAUGACUUCUUGAUUAUAUUAUAUUGAAUCAACACCCACCCACAAAGCAAUGAUGGCUUAAUAAAUUUGAUUAUGUUACUUAGAUGAAUACACUGUAGUUGUGAACGCAAAUAUUAAAUGCUGCAGAAAUAAUCAGCUGUCACCAGAAAUAUGGCAAAAAUAUAUGUGGAUUUGUGGAGGAUUUAUGGCAGUCAUUUAGGUUUACAGUUGCAGGAGCUGGGGAAGAAACGCAAGGCUGAUGAAAAAUAGUCUGUCAAUCUGUCUGCCUUGGGUAGAAUCUCAAACCCAGGAAUCUAACGCCUCUCUUUGUCUUUCUCUGUCUGUCUCUUUCUAUCACACUCAGUACUGCAGGGAGUUAUCCAGCAUCAAAUUAGUUGCAGCUUUCACAAGGAGGUGAGGACAGGACAGAUAGAGUGGAGAGUAAGAAGAGGGUAAAAGGGCAUGACUCAUCUGGAUGUUUUAUAAUUUCCUGAUUUAUAUUCUCUAUAGAUUAAUGUAGAUAAAGAGCAAAGUAAAAUAACUUCUAAGCUGUGACGUAAUUGAGAAAAGAGUUGUGAAAGUUACUAUACCUCAACACACUGAACCCUUUGGGAAAUACUGUAAUAAGUGAUGUGGAGCACUAUAUAAAAAUCUUAACAACU